Molecule: long non-coding RNA, 627 nt
Organism: Micropterus dolomieu (smallmouth bass)
Lineage: Eukaryota; Metazoa; Chordata; Actinopteri; Centrarchiformes; Centrarchidae
Exons: 2
Source: RefSeq, a predicted model, not a curated record
GUCUCUGCACAUUCUUUUGGCGCCUGUACCUGAGCGUAGGAGGCUGCGUUAUCCCCUUGGUAAGACGAGAAACGACAUGGAGUGAAUUAAACAAAUUCUGUGAUCAUAAUCGCUUAUACUGACUAUACCCUGUUGUAAUAUAGAGAGUAAAUGAGAGCUGUGCCUGAAUCCACUGUUGUCACGGAGCUAAAGGCGGUGAAUUCCGCUAAAAUGGUCAGGUUUUGGUAAAGAGUUGGAAGCCUUGUGCAGCUGAGAUCCAUUCCACGGAGUGAUACCAAUCUACAUGUUCCAGACGUUUUUCCAGAUCCUUGUGGAUUCCCAGUCUAGGUGGCUGGGUGGCGAGCCAACCGUGUUUGUGAUUCUGACUUUAGACGGAUUGCCAGGAUCUUCCUCAUCUUCAUGGUGGUAGGACAAACUCUAACACAAACUUAAAAGGGCCCCAACGGUGAGAAAUGAACUCUUGUCAAUAAAGGCAAGUGGAACUAAGGACGAACUGAGCUCAACGAAGUUAAAAGGAAGGUUUUUUUUUAUGUGCGCACUUUAUUAUUUUAGUUUGUUAUUUUUCAUACCUGCUUUUUUAUGUAUGUACCAUCCCUGUGUAUUUAAUACACUUAAUGCAAACUGUCA